UGGGGUAUCGCCAAGCGGUAAGGAACCGGUUUUUGAUACCGUCAUUCCCUGGUUCGAAUCCAGUUACCCCAGCCA
This 75-nucleotide transfer RNA is filed under the name Enterobacter cloacae subsp. cloacae. RNAcentral describes it as "tRNA-Gln". It matches the Rfam family "tRNA". Rfam says of the family: Transfer RNA (tRNA) molecules are approximately 80 nucleotides in length. Their secondary structure includes four short double-helical elements and three loops (D, anti-codon, and T loops). Lineage: Bacteria; Pseudomonadati; Pseudomonadota; Gammaproteobacteria; Enterobacterales; Enterobacteriaceae. The record is from RNAcentral.